GGGGACGAACAAAUGCCAGGGAGGGGUUGUCCAUCAGAGCCUACAAGAAGAUCCGUGUGGGAAAAGACAACCGAGGAUGGGGCAGUCUCUCCCAGGUUCGGUUCUCUCUCCAGCCCCACCGAUGUCCCGCAGGUGCCGGUGAGGCCUCCAUUCUCCCACGUACCAACCCCACAGUGGCUCGCCCCUUCUCCUCUGCACUGCCUCCUUCCUGUCACAUCCUGUUCUGGACCAUCACCCCCCAGCCCAGACUGACCCGUUGAAGGCAG
Molecule: long non-coding RNA, 266 nt
Organism: Chinchilla lanigera (long-tailed chinchilla)
Lineage: Eukaryota; Metazoa; Chordata; Mammalia; Rodentia; Chinchillidae
Exons: 3
Source: RefSeq, a predicted model, not a curated record